ACGACGGGUAGCCGGCCUGANAGGGCGACCGGCCACACUGGGAAUGAGACACGGCCCAGACUCCUACGGGAGGCAGCAGUGGGGAAUAUUGCACAAUGGGCGAAAGCCUGAUGCAGCGACGCCGCGUGAGGGAUGACGGCCUUCGGGUUGUAAACCUCUUUCAGCAGGGAAGAAGCGCAAGUGACGGUACCUGCAGAAGAAGCACCGGCUAACUACGUGCCAGCAGCCGCGGUAAUACGUAGGGUGCGAGCGUUGUCCGGAAUUAUUGGGCGUAAAGAGCUCGUAGGCGGCCUGUCGCGUCGGAUGUGCAAAGCCCCGGGCUUAACCCCGGGUCUGCAUUCGAUACGGGCCGGCUAGAGUGUGGUCGGGGAGAUCGGAAUUCCUGGUGUAGCGGUGAAAUGCGCAGAUAUCAGGAGGAACACCGGUGGCGAAGGCGGCUCUCUGGGCCAUUCCUGACGCUGAGGAGCGCAAGCGUGGGGCGCGAACAGGAUUAGAUACCCUGGUACUCCACGCCGUAAACGUUGGGAACUAGGUGUUCGUCCACAUUCCACGUGGUCGGUGCUCGCAGAUACCGCAUUCAGUUCCCCGCCUGGGGACUACGCCCCCAAGGCUAAAACUCAAAGGAAUUGACGGGGCCCCGCACAAGCAGCGGAGCAUGUGGCUUAAUUCGACGCAACGCGAAGAACCUUACCAAGGCUUGACAUAUGCCG
This 710-nucleotide ribosomal RNA is filed under the name Kitasatospora xanthocidica. RNAcentral describes it as "bacterial SSU rRNA". It matches the Rfam family "Bacterial small subunit ribosomal RNA", at positions 276 to 993 of the family's 1533-position model. Lineage: Bacteria; Bacillati; Actinomycetota; Actinomycetes; Kitasatosporales; Streptomycetaceae. The record is from RNAcentral.